RNAcentral lists this transfer RNA (97 nucleotides) under Micromonosporaceae bacterium. Its description in RNAcentral is "tRNA-Sec". It matches the Rfam family "Selenocysteine transfer RNA". Lineage: Bacteria; Bacillati; Actinomycetota; Actinomycetes; Micromonosporales; Micromonosporaceae. The record is from RNAcentral.
GGAGGUGUUUGCCGGCUGGUGCCGGCCGCGGUCUUCAACACCGUAGGGCGGGCGUGACGCGCGCGCCGGCGGGUUCGAUUCCCGUCCACCUCCGCCA